GACGAACGCUGGCGGCGUGCUUAACACAUGCAAGUCGAACGGAAAGGCCCUGCUUUUGUGGGGUGCUCGAGUGGCGAACGGGUGAGUAACACGUGAGUAACCUGCCCUUGACUUUGGGAUAACUUCAGGAAACUGGGGCUAAUACCGGAUAGGAGCUCCUGCUGCAUGGUGGGGGUUGGAAAGUUUCGGCGGUUGGGGAUGGACUCGCGGCUUAUGCUUGUUGGUGGGGUAGUGGCUUACCAAGGCUUUGACGUGUAGCCGGCCUGAGAGGGUGACCGGCCACAUUGGGACUGAGAUACGGCCCAGACUCCUACGGGAGGCAGCAGUGGGGAAUAUUGCACAAUGGGCGGAAGCCUGAUGCAGCAACGCCGCGUGCGGGAUGACGGCCUUCGGGUUGUAAACCGCUUUCGCCUGUGACGAAGCGUGAGUGACGGUAAUGGGGAAAGAAGCACCGGCUAACUACGU
RNAcentral lists this ribosomal RNA (465 nucleotides) under uncultured bacterium. Its description in RNAcentral is "partial 16S ribosomal RNA". It matches the Rfam family "Bacterial small subunit ribosomal RNA", at positions 28 to 506 of the family's 1533-position model. The record is from RNAcentral.